This 621-nucleotide ribosomal RNA is filed under the name uncultured bacterium. RNAcentral describes it as "bacterial SSU rRNA". It matches the Rfam family "Bacterial small subunit ribosomal RNA", at positions 338 to 956 of the family's 1533-position model. The record is from RNAcentral.
CCUACGGGAGGCAGCAGUGGGGAAUUUUGGACAAUGGGCGCAAGCCUGAUCCAGCAAUGCCGCGUGCAGGAUGAAGGCCUUCGGGUUGUAAACUGCUUUUGUACGGAACGAAACGGCUCUUUCUAAUAAAGAGAGCUAAUGACGGUACCGUAAGAAUAAGCACCGGCUAACUACGUGCCAGCAGCCGCGGUAAUACGUAGGGUGCGAGCGUUAAUCGGAAUUACUGGGCGUAAAGCGUGCGCAGGCGGUUAUAUAAGACAGAUGUGAAAUCCCCGGGCUCAACCUGGGACCUGCAUUUGUGACUGUAUAGCUAGAGUACGGUAGAGGGGGAGUGGAAUUCCGCGUGUAGCAGUGAAAUGCGUAGAUAUGCGGAGGAACACCGAUGGCGAAGGCAAUCCCCUCGGACCUGUACUGACGCUCAUGCACGAAAGCGUGGGGAGCAAACAGGAUUAGAUACCCUGGUAGUCCACGCCCUAAACGAUGUCAACUGGUUGUUGGGUCUUCACUGACUCAGUAACGAAGCUAACGCGUGAAGUUGGCCGCCUGGGGAGUACGGCCGCAAGGUUGAAACGUUACGAAAGUAGUAGACGNGNGAGAGCGACGAGACACAGGAGGAGGAGG